This 465-nucleotide ribosomal RNA is filed under the name uncultured Klebsiella sp. Its description in RNAcentral is "bacterial SSU rRNA". It matches the Rfam family "Bacterial small subunit ribosomal RNA", at positions 338 to 795 of the family's 1533-position model. The record is from RNAcentral. Lineage: Bacteria; Pseudomonadati; Pseudomonadota; Gammaproteobacteria; Enterobacterales; Enterobacteriaceae.
CCUACGGGGGGCUGCAGUGGGGAAUAUUGCACAAUGGGCGCAAGCCUGAUGCAGCCAUGCCGCGUGUGUGAAGAAGGCCUUCGGGUUGUAAAGCACUUUCAGCGGGGAGGAAGGCGUUAAGGUUAAUAACCUUGUCGAUUGACGUUACCCGCAGAAGACGCACCGGCUAACUCCGUGCCAGCAGCCGCGGUAAUACGGAGGGUGCAAGCGUUAAUCGGAAUUACUGGGCGUAAAGCGCACGCAGGCGGUCUGUCAAGUCGGAUGUGAAAUCCCCGGGCUCAACCUGGGAACUGCAUUCGAAACUGGCAGGCUAGAGUCUUGUAGAGGGGGGUAGAAUUCCAGGUGUAGCGGUGAAAUGCGUAGAGAUCUGGAGGAAUACCGGUGGCGAAGGCGGCCCCCUGGACAAAGACUGACGCUCAGGUGCGAAAGCGUGGGGAGCAAACAGGAUUAGAUACCCCAGUAGUC